UACGAGUGCCCCAAGCGUUAUCCGGAAUCAUUGGGCGUAAAGGGUGUGUAGGCGGUUAUGUUAGUCUGCAGUCAAAUCUCCCGGCUUAACCGGGAAUCCGCUGCGGAAACGGCAUAACUAGAGGAUGCGAGGGGUCUGUAGAACUCAUGGAGUAGGGGUGAAAUCCGUUGAUAUCAUGGGGAAUACCAAAAGCGAAGGCAGCAGACUGGCGCACUCCUGACGCUGAAACACGAAAGCGUGGGUAGCGAAUGGG
Molecule: ribosomal RNA, 253 nt
Filed under: uncultured prokaryote
Description: partial 16S ribosomal RNA
Rfam family: Bacterial small subunit ribosomal RNA
Source: RNAcentral